Non-coding RNA from Pelobates cultripes (western spadefoot toad), 268 nucleotides. NCBI's taxonomy places the organism in Eukaryota, Metazoa, Chordata, Amphibia, Anura, Pelobatidae. The record is from the annotation of a GenBank genome assembly.
GGGGAUGCUAAACGCCUAUCUUCUAGACAGGCUAGAUGGUCUUUGUUUCUGUCUCGCUUCAACUUCCUUAUAACUUACAGACCUGGUCCCAAAAAUGUAAAGGCAGAUGCCUUGUCUAGACAGUUUGAUUCUGAGUCUUUACAGGAACACGAGACAUCCCCUAUCAUGCCACCUGAAUGUAUCAUCGCUUCUACUGUUCUUUCACUGUCUUCUCCCUUGCUUGGUGCUAUAAUGGAGGCUCAGUCUCAGGCACCAUGCAAUAAACCAC